AGGAUCAUUAAUGAAUUUAGAUUGAACCAUAGGCGAAAGCCAGUGGUUCUUCUUUCAUAUCCAUAACACCUGUGCACUGUUGGAUGCUUGCAUCCACUUUUAAACUAAACAUUAUUGUAACAAAUGUAGUCUUAUUAUAACAUAAUAAAACUUUCAACAACGGAUCUCUUGGCUCUCGCAUCGAUGAAGAACGCAGCGAAAUGCGAUAAGUAAUGUGAAUUGCAGAAUUCAGUGAAUCAUCGAAUCUUUGAACGCACCUUGCGCUCCUUGGUAUUCCGAGGAGCAUGCCUGUUUGAGUGUCAUGAAACCCUCAAACCCAAGUUUUGGAUUUCGAUCCAUGCUUGAGUUUGGAUUUGGAUGUUUGCCGGUGAUGAACCGACUCAUCUUAAAAGUAUUAGCUUGGAUCUGUCUAUAUGACUGGUUUGACUUGGCAUAAUAAGUAUUUUGCUGAGGACAUCUUCGGAUGGCCAGGACCUAGACUACUGUCUGCUAACUAAACCAUCACUUUAAGUGCAUCUUUGGAUGUUACCCAUUGUGUAACUUUGACAUCUGGCCUCAAAUCAAGUAGGACUACCCGCUGAACUUAAGCAUAUCAAUAAGCGGAGGAA
RNAcentral lists this ribosomal RNA (608 nucleotides) under uncultured Filobasidiaceae. RNAcentral describes it as "eukaryotic LSU rRNA". The stretch from base 149 to 302 matches the Rfam family "5.8S ribosomal RNA". Lineage: Eukaryota; Fungi; Basidiomycota; Tremellomycetes; Filobasidiales. The record is from RNAcentral.